GAUCCUGGCUCAGAAUCAACGCUGGCGGCGUGCCUCAGACAUGCAAGUCGAACGCGAAAGCCCCCUUCGGGGGGCAAGUAGAGUGGCGCACGGGUGAGUAACACGUAGGUAAUCUACCUUUGGAUUGGGAAUAACCACCGGAAACGGUGGCUAAUACCGAAUAAUGCAGCGGCACCUAAUGGUGACAGUUGUUAAAGCGGGGGAUCGAAAGACCUCGCGUCUGAAGAGGAGCCUGCGGCAGAUUAGCUAGUUGGUAAGGUAACGGCUUACCAAGGCGAUGAUCUGUAGCCGGCCUGAGAGGGCGGUCGGCCACACUGACACUGACAUACGGGUCAGACUCCUACGGGAGGCAGCAGUCGGGAAUUUUGGGCAAUGGGCGAAAGCCUGACCCAGCAACGCCGCGUGAAGGAUGAAAUCCCUCGGGAUGUAAACUUCGCAAGAACAGGAAGAAUAAGUAAGAGUUAAUAUCUCUUAUGAUGACGGUACUGUUUGUAAGCUCCGGCUAACUCCGUGCCAGCAGCCGCGGUAAUACGGGGGGAGCAAGCGUUGUUCGGAUUUACUGGGCGUAAAGGGCGCGUAGGCGGCCACCGCAAGUCGACUGUGAAAUCUCCGGGCUUAACCCGGAAAGGUCAGCCGAUACUGCGGGGCUAGAGUGCAGAAGGGGCAACUGGAAUUCUCGGUGUAGCGGUG
This 690-nucleotide ribosomal RNA is filed under the name uncultured Acidobacteriota bacterium. RNAcentral describes it as "bacterial SSU rRNA". It matches the Rfam family "Bacterial small subunit ribosomal RNA", at positions 15 to 683 of the family's 1533-position model. Lineage: Bacteria; Pseudomonadati; Acidobacteriota. The record is from RNAcentral.